AUUGAACGCUGGCGGCAUGCUUUACACAUGCAAGUCGAACGGCAGCGCGGGCUUCGGCCUGGCGGCGAGUGGCGAACGGGUGAGUAAUAUAUCGGAACGUACCCAGAAGUGGGGGAUAACGUAGCGAAAGUUACGCUAAUACCGCAUACGAUCUACGGAUGAAAGCAGGGGAUCGCAAGACCUUGUGCUUUUGGAGCGGCCGAUAUCUGAUUAGCUAGUUGGUAGGGUAAUGGCCUACCAAGGCGACGAUCAGUAGCUGGUCUGAGAGGACGACCAGCCACACUGGAACUGAGACACGGUCCAGACUCCUACGGGAGGCAGCAGUGGGGAAUUUUGGACAAUGGGGGCAACCCUGAUCCAGCAAUGCCGCGUGAGUGAAGAAGGCCUUCGGGUUGUAAAGCUCUUUUGUCAGGGAAGAAACGGCUGUGGCUAAUAUCCACGGCUAAUGACGGUACCUGAAGAAUAAGCACCGGCUAACUACGUGCCAGCAGCCGCGGUAAUACGUAGGGUGCAAGCGUUAAUCGGAAUUACUGGGCGUAAAGCGUGCGCAGGCGGUUUUGUAAGUCUGACGUGAAAUCCCCGGGCUUAACCUGGGAAUUGCGUUGGAGACUGCAAGGCUGGAGUCUGGCAGAGGGGGGUAGAAUUCCACGUGUAGCAGUGAAAUGCGUAGAGAUGUGGAGGAACACCGAUGGCGAAGGCAGCCCCCUGGGUCAAGACUGACGCUCAUGCACGAAAGCGUGGGGAGCAAACAGGAUUAGAUACCCUGGUAGUCCACGCCCUAAACGAUGUCUACUAGUUGUCGGGUUUUAAUUAACUUGGUAACGCAGCUAACGCGUGAAGUAGACCGCCUGGGGAGUACGGUCGCAAGAUUA
This 872-nucleotide ribosomal RNA is filed under the name uncultured bacterium. RNAcentral describes it as "bacterial SSU rRNA". It matches the Rfam family "Bacterial small subunit ribosomal RNA", at positions 28 to 896 of the family's 1533-position model. The record is from RNAcentral.